This 2541-nucleotide unclassified non-coding RNA is filed under the name Leishmania donovani. RNAcentral describes it as "gene:LdHU3.26.2940(CDS-product:kynureninase_putat ive)". Lineage: Eukaryota; Euglenozoa; Kinetoplastea; Trypanosomatida; Trypanosomatidae. The record is from RNAcentral.
CUUCAACGAAGUAGCCGUGCUCCGUCUUUCUCUGUCUUUCUAUUCCUUCGCCUUUCGGCUGUGUGAGCGAGAUCCUCCCCCAACCGCCAUCACUCCCAUCACGUACGUCAACGGUUGCACUUGCACGCACGCGCAAAGAGGCGUGCGGAGAAGCACACGCGUACACAGCAGCAGCAGCAGCAGCAGGGCGAAGGACUCAAAUCGAAAAGAAACCAGAAAAGUAAAAACAAAACGCUUUCCAUGCGCAACGCAGCGGCCGAGACGCUCUUGAGCACCGUCAGCACCACCGGCAUGGCGCUGACGGAGGACGGCUUUGCGGAGUACAUGGACGAGGCUGACCCGCUUCGUGAGCACCGCAGCUCGUACCACAUUCCCAUGAUGCGUGACGGCACCCAGUUCUCGUACUUUGCUGGGAACGCGCUGGGGCCGCAGCACGUCGGCGUGGAGGCCUCUAUGGCGGCCUUCCUCAAGAAGUGGCGCGAGCAGGCAGUUGAGGGGCACCUCAUGCAGCCCACGCCGUGGUUCGAGAUUGACCAGAUGUGUGUCAAGGACAUGGCAGCCAUCGUGGGUGCCAAGGACACGGAGGUGGCCAUCAUGAACACGCCCACGGUGAACCUGCAUCUUCUCCUGAGCACCUUCUACCACUCACAGGGCAGCAAGAAGAAGAUCAUGAUAGAUCCUCAUAGCUUUCCGAGCGACGGCUACUGCCUCCUCUCGCAGCUUGAGACACGCGGGCUGAACCCCGCCGAGGACCUUAUCAAGAUCACGGCGCCGGGCACCAAGGACUGGAACGGCCCCGUCACUGCGAUCCCGAUGGAGGCUUUCCUCUCGGCCAUAGACAAGCGCGGCGACGAGACGGCCGUAAUCAUCGUGUCAGCUGUACAGCACCUCACAGGACAGUGGCUCGAUAUCCCUGCCAUCGUAAAGGCCGCGCACGCCAAGAAGAUCCUCGUCGGCGUCGACUGCGCCCACGCCGUGGGCAACGUGCCGCUGCACCUCCAUGACUGGGACGUCGACUUUGCGUUCUGGUGCACGUGCAAGUACCUGAGCAGUGGGCCCGGCAGCAUCGGUGGUGUUUUCGUCCACAACAAGCACACAUCCGGCGCCAUCCCGCUCAAUCACCUGAGCAGGCGCUGGGGCAGCGAAAUCCAGAGUUGCUUCCCGAAGCACCACAGCCUCGAGCCGGCGACAGGCGCCUCGGAACUGCACAUCAGCACCCCAUCGGCUGCAUGCUAUAUGAUUCUGGCGCCGUCACUGAAGCUGAUGGCGUCGGUUGGCAUGGAGGCGAUCCGGCAGAAGUCGUUGCUGCUUACGGCCUACCUGGAGCUGCUUUUGAGUGAGCUCGUGCCUCCAGGCUGCAUCGAGAUUGUGACACCGGCGGACCCGAACCAGCGCGGCGCCCAGCUUUCGCUCCGCAUUCUUCCAAAUAAGCUCAAGUCCGGCCAGGCGGCCGCUCCGGGGUACCAGUGCGGCGCCGGCGGGGCUGACGAGAUGGAUGACGCCUCCCUGCUGCAACGUCAGCUGCUUGACGAGGGCGUCAUGAUUCACAGAUGCUCCCCAGACGUGGUGCCUGUGGCGCCGGCGCCCAUGUACAACAGCUUCGCGGACGUCCUGCGUGCUGUACGCAUCAUUGCCUCCCUCUUCUAGUCGAACGAGUGCAGCGCAAAAAAGGAUGCGAUGACGGGGUAAGGAGGGGCAGCACAAGGGUCCGUCAAUAGGGAUGCAUCCGUGCCAACUGCACGAGCGCAGACGUACACACACGCGAGCGGGGAGGAGGGGGGAGGGAAGAGCUGGGUCCUAGGGGGCCACUGCACCACAACUAUUUUCGCUGCUUUCCCUCUCUCGCUCAACUUACACACUCUCCCUCUGUGCGUAGCGCCCUUCUUAUCCCCACCCUGCCGCUUCCCUUUUCGUGUGUGUGUGUGUGUGUCGUCGUGUUGUGUUCUCUCACCUAUGCUCGGCAGCAAUCAGUCCCUCCUCCUUUCUCGUGCCUCUGGCAGCCGUACGUGACGCUCGUGUGCGGGUAUCAGUAUGGGUUCGGGCACUCGGUGUAGUCGUAUGUCUAUGUGCCUGUGUGUGUAUGGGUGCAUGUGUGCGGGUAUGAUGGGCAUGUAAUUCCCAAUGCCUUCCAUGUGCGGCAUCGCUUCCCUGUUCUCCCUCGCCAUGUGCUGAGCGCCGCUCACGAAGGUACGGCGGUGAUGUGCUCACAAGUGCCGCGUGUGCAGGUCUGUGCACGCGCGUCUCCCUUUCGCUAUCGCUCGUUCUCCGUUUUCUGCGCGUUGCUUCUCUGUGUGCGCAUGAAAGUGUACUCGCGUGCAUCGAUGUAGGAGUGGUCCCAGAGGUGCGAGCAAGGCGGCGCAAACCGAUGUACACCGCCUCCAUCCCGUCUGCUUCUCUUCCCCUUGGAGAGCGUGUGAGGGGGGGGGCGUAUUGGGCGUGCGUCGACGGUGCAGCUGCCUCUCACCGCAGAAGACCUCUGUUGCUGUCUUUCUCUUGCCUACCAGAUGCAACGUGCUUUGAAGAGCUGAGGCAGUGGCGGGC